GUGAUGGCUUCAGCAACACAUAUUGUAAAAUUGGAAUGGUGCAGAGAAGAUUAGCAUGGCCCCUGCAUGAGGAUGACAUGAAAAUUUAUGAAGUGUUCCAUAUUUAA
Molecule: small nuclear RNA, 107 nt
Organism: Vulpes vulpes (red fox)
Lineage: Eukaryota; Metazoa; Chordata; Mammalia; Carnivora; Canidae
Source: Ensembl